CCUACGGGAGGCAGCAGUGAGGAAUAUUGGUCAAUGGGCGGGAGCCUGAACCAGCCAAGCCGCGUGCGGGAAGACGGUUCUACGUAUUGUAAACUUCUUUUGUAAAGGAAUAAAGGUGGGGACGAGUCUUCGGAUGAGGGUACUUUAAGAAAAAGGAUCGGCUAACUCCGUGCCAGCAGCCGCGGUAAUACGGAGGAUCCGAGCGUUAUCCGGAUUUAUUGGGUUUAAAGGGUGCGUAGGCGGCCUGUUAAGUUAGCGGUGAAAUGUCCGGGGUUAACCCGCGAAGUGCCUUUGAUACUGGCGGGCUAGAGUUGAGGUGAGGUAGGCGGAAUGCGCGGUGUAGCGGUGAAAUGCUUAGAUAUCACGCAGAACACCGAUUGCGAAGGCAGCGUACCAACCCAACACUGACGCUGAGGCACGAAAGCGUGGGUAUCAAACAGGAUUAGAUACCCCAGUAGUC
This 460-nucleotide ribosomal RNA is filed under the name uncultured bacterium. RNAcentral's name for it is "partial 16S ribosomal RNA". It matches the Rfam family "Bacterial small subunit ribosomal RNA", at positions 338 to 795 of the family's 1533-position model. The record is from RNAcentral.